This 253-nucleotide ribosomal RNA is filed under the name uncultured bacterium. RNAcentral's name for it is "partial 16S ribosomal RNA". It matches the Rfam family "Bacterial small subunit ribosomal RNA", at positions 524 to 776 of the family's 1533-position model. The record is from RNAcentral.
GACGAAGGGGGCUAGCGUUGUUCGGAAUUACUGGGCGUAAAGCGAGUGUAGGUGGUUGUCCAAGUUGGAUGUGAAAGCCUUGAGCUCAACUCAAGAAAUGCAUUCAGGACUGGAUGGCUAGAGGACCGGAGAGGAUAGUGGAAUUCCCAGUGUAGUGGUGAAAUACGUAGAGAUUGGGAAGAACACCAGUGGCGAAGGCGGCUAUCUGGACGGUUUCUGACACUAAGACUCGAAAGCGUGGGGAGCGAACAGG